Molecule: unclassified non-coding RNA, 334 nt
Filed under: uncultured Mortierella
Lineage: Eukaryota; Fungi; Mortierellomycota; Mortierellomycetes; Mortierellales; Mortierellaceae
Description: sequence contains ITS2
Source: RNAcentral
AACGCAUAUUGCACUCUCUGGUAUUCCGGAGAGUAUGCUUGUUUGAGUAUCUGUAAACAUCUCAAAUCUCUCAGCGCUUGUCGUUUGGGAGAAUUGGAUUUGAGCGAUCCCGACUCCUUCGUCAGAAAGAGGAGGGUCGCUUGAAAUGCAGGUGCAGCUGGACAUUCUUCUGAGCUAAAAGCAUAUCUAUUUAGUCCCGUCAAACGGAUUAUUACUUUUGCUUCAGCUAAUAUAAAGGUCGAAUGAACUACCAACGCUGAUUGCAGGAAAACUCGUUUGUAACAGAACUUGUGAACUCGAUCUCAAAUCAAGUAAGACUACCCGCUGAACUUAA